This is a non-coding RNA of Heterocephalus glaber (naked mole-rat), 462 nucleotides long. NCBI's taxonomy places the organism in Eukaryota, Metazoa, Chordata, Mammalia, Rodentia, Bathyergidae. The record is from RefSeq and is a predicted model, not a curated record.
CACCAGCGCUUCCUGCUGCCACAUGGCGCGGACUCUUGGCAUCUACAGGCAGCCAGACUUUCUCAGCUCUGCGGAAGCUGCCUGGCAACGCGAGGCGUCUUCAGUUGCCAUAGCGACAUAGGAGGCUUGCUGCUCAACUUCUGGCCUCAAGUCCGACCUCCUGCGUGUCAAAGCUCUUCAAGAGAGGCUUUUCAGAUCCCUGAUGAGGAAACGAAGUUCAAAAACACAGGAAAACCUCUCAGGCCACACAGUAAGAAGUGGUGAGCUGGAAUGUUAACUACAAAUGCCUAAUUCCAACAUCGGGGUAGGUCACUGCCCAGAACAGAAAAGGUGUGGAGGGCGGGCAGGUACUGGGCAGGUGAAUUCAAGAUAUGGUCUCGGUUUAACCAAUGUCACACCUGUUGCAUCCCGUUGCCUGCUACACGCAAUGUGAUUGAAUAAAUGAAUAUUGAGGAUUCUCAA